AGCAACGAAAAUAAUUUUAUGGUUGGGGGUCACCACAACAUGAGGAACUGUAUUAAAGGGUCGCGGCAUUAGGAAGGUUGAGAACCACUGCACUAAGGGAAUUUUAAAGAAUACCUUCUCCAUAUCCACAGAAAGCUCAGCAAACCACUGUCUGGCAUCUUUCUGCUGUACAACACAGGCUACAUGUAGGCAAGCUGGAAAGAAAAUAAGAGACAAAGGCCCACGUUUAACUAGAAACAUACAAUGUGUGGACUCAGAACUAAAGGUAAAAUUUUCUCUUACAUUUUUCAUGUAUAUUUUCCAAUAUUCUUUUAGAAAAUUGCAUAGAUUCAUAUAAUAGUUACCAUUGACCAUGCCAUCAAUUUAACCUCAUACAGACAGAAAAAAUUAUUAGACCAUAUUAAGGUUCUUGACAUUUCCAGCUCCUCAGUGUGGCAUGGUGCAGUUGCCUUGAGAGUCAGGGCAUGUUAGAGAGAGGAAAAUUCAAUGAGGAAAUUAAAGCAGAGAAAUUAUCUCUGAACAAUGAUACAAAGUAGUAUACAAUAUAAUCAGAAGUCAGUGUGAUUAAAAAAAAAAAAAAA
This is a long non-coding RNA of Myotis myotis, 581 nucleotides long. RefSeq lists it as uncharacterized. The record is from RefSeq and is a predicted model, not a curated record. Lineage: Eukaryota; Metazoa; Chordata; Mammalia; Chiroptera; Vespertilionidae. The transcript is spliced from 2 exons.